This 380-nucleotide ribosomal RNA is filed under the name uncultured bacterium. RNAcentral describes it as "partial 16S ribosomal RNA". It matches the Rfam family "Bacterial small subunit ribosomal RNA", at positions 355 to 724 of the family's 1533-position model. The record is from RNAcentral.
UGGGGAAUUUUGGACAAUGGGCGAAAGCCUGAUCCAGCAAUGCCGCGUGUGUGAAGAAGGCCUUCGGGUUGUAAAGCACUUUUGUCCGGAAAGAAAUCCUUGGCUCUAAUACAGUCGGGGGAUGACGGUACCGGAAGAAUAAGCACCGGCUAACUACGUGCCAGCAGCCGCGGUAAUACGUAGGGUGCAAGCGUUAAUCGGAAUUACUGGGCGUAAAGCGUGCGCAGGCGGUUUGCUAAGACCGAUGUGAAAUCCCGGCGUCAACCUAGGCAACUGGCAAUGUGAUGCUGGCAGGCUAGAGUAUGGCAGAGGGGGUGAGAAUAUCCACGUGUAGCAGUGAAAUGCGUAGAGAUGUGGAGGAAUACCGAUGGCGAAGGCAG